GCCGGGGUAGCUCAGUUGGUUAGAGCACUGGAUUGUGGAUCCAGGGGUCCAGGGUUCAAGUCCCUGCCCCGGUACCA
RNAcentral lists this transfer RNA (77 nucleotides) under Candidatus Hydrogenedentota bacterium. RNAcentral describes it as "tRNA-His". It matches the Rfam family "tRNA". From Rfam's summary of the family: Transfer RNA (tRNA) molecules are approximately 80 nucleotides in length. Lineage: Bacteria; Pseudomonadati; Candidatus Hydrogenedentota. The record is from RNAcentral.